Molecule: ribosomal RNA, 253 nt
Filed under: uncultured bacterium
Lineage: Bacteria
Description: partial 16S ribosomal RNA
Rfam family: Bacterial small subunit ribosomal RNA
Source: RNAcentral
UACGUAGGGUGCGAGCGUUAAUCGGAAUUACUGGGCGUAAAGCGUCCGCAGGUGGCAGUUCAAGUCCGCUGUCAAAGACCGGGGCUUAACUUCGGAAAGGCAGUGGAAACUGAACAGCUAGAGUAUGGUAGGGGCAGAGGGAAUUCCUGGUGUAGCGGUGAAAUGCGUAGAGAUCAGGAAGAACAUCGGUGGCGAAGGCGCUCUGCUGGACCAUAACUGACACUCAGGGACGAAAGCUAGGGGAGCGAAUGGG